AUAUAUAAAUAUAUAUAUAUAUCUAUCUAUCUCUUAAAAUAUUAAAUAAGCCAUUACUCGAUAGUCAAUAGUAAUUAGUAAGAAUCCAAAAGAGAGAUGGGACUUCAAUGGCUCUAUCAUCCUCCUACUCUCACUCUCGCUCUACCUUUUCCUUUGCCGGGAUUUGGAGUCCAUUUGAGCUUACCAGCUAUGGUGUCCCGCUACAAUCACCAUCAUCAGCAUCCGAUUAAAAUGAUUAUGACUGCUUAGAAGUCACUUUGGAGCAUUUAUUACCUGUCGGAGGGAAAAAAAAAAGAGAGCGAAAAAAGAAAAUACCUUUCUGGUUGUGAUUCAACGUAAGUUUGGUGUCUUUGUUCUCGCCCUAUCUACUAUUCUCAGCAAACUUUUGCUGCCCCCAAGCUCUGAUAAUUGGGUAACUCCUACCUGUCAGAAGGCAGAGUCAGAUGGGCAAACCUUGACGUUGUUUAAGAAGGAAGAAGGGGAAAAAAAGGAAAAAGAAAGAGAUGCAAAGAUACAUGCCAACCUGAUUUGACACAAAAGUCAGUAUUCAACUAAAUGGCAAUUAACUUGGGGCUGUUUUAGUGUCUUAUGGAAUUUGAGCAGCUUCAAAGAACAUUGCAUGCCAUCGAUUGUCUUCCUUGCUCAAUAUAAUGGUAAAAACUUGAUUAAUAAGUUUUAGAAUGCGAGUUUGAGUAUCAAAAGUCACUUUGUACAUAAUAAUGUCAAAUAUUGCUUUUGCCUUUACUUUUUCCUUUACUACACCGCGCUGUCCAUGGGUGAUAUCAACACUAGGUAAUGGUUUUUCACUUUUUUGUAAUAUAAAAUGAUGUUAAUAGGAUUAUUGAAGAAAAUUACAUAUAAUGAGUUUUAGACCUUCUUGAAACGGUAUUUUUUUCUGAUCCUGUUUAAUGCUUCUUAUAUAUUUAUAUAAUAUACUCUCUCUGUCCCAUUUAACAUGUCGGCUUUGUGAGUCACGGUUCCCGAAGCCGACAUUUAAAAUGAGACAGAGGUAGUAUAUAUGUAUAUAUUUAUUGGACAGGCGGACGUCAUUUACUGCUCCAAUGGGAUGUUUGAUAAGCGUUGAAGAUCGAGGCUCAAGCUAAACAAGCAUAGUACCAAAUCGAGCCUUGUAUUUGGAAUCGGAUGAAAUGGUCAUAAUCAAGUUCAGGUAACAUACCCUACUCAAACUUUUUUCUUUUUCUUUUUUUUUUUUUCAAUUACUUUUAUUAGUCCGUACACUUUCCAUCCACUUGCCUUGAGACAGGACUACAACCUUUGAACUUUAGUUGAGACAAAUUAACGUUGGUGGUUGACAACCAAAGCUGGACAACGUUAUAGAAAGUCUGCAACUACUUUUCUGAACCAUUAAAUUCUAGGAAUAGGAUAAUGGAACCCUAAAUCAUGGUCAUAUUUCAAUCCCUUUACCACAUUUUUCUAUGAUUUAAGAUACAAUGCAUUGUGAAUCACAUGCAAGUCUUUGGCUAUAUCACUUGGAACACCUAAUUUUCUUCUUCAUCUAGAAACAAAAUCAUGUGACUAUCUAACCCCUCCAUCUUUCAUUCACCAGCAGACUUUCAAUCAAUCCAAACAGGUCCACUAAGCCUAAGUAUGUCAUGGUCAAUCACCAUUUUGAAUUGACAAGAUUAAAAUUUUAGAUUAUAGUUCAAGAGUUUAUUGUAUCUAAUUAUAUAGUUUUGGAAGAAGAGGAACGCAUGACUGAUUAUGUUGUGUUUGGGAGCACUGAAUCGGUGUUAUGGAUUUGAGAUCAAAGAAAAUGUAGUACAAAUUUUGAACUAAAUUUCUUCCAAUCCCAAAUUCAAGCCAUCGAUUCGGUGCUCCCAAACGGUAAUGUUUUUGUUGUGUUGUGAUUUUAUUACCAAAUGGAAACAUGUUCGGUAACCAAUUUCGUUGCAUAAUGUUUCAAAGCAAAAAAAAUUGAAAAAUAAAAUGUUAAAAAAAGGUAUUUACAUUUUAAAAAAUAAAAUUUCAUUACAAUUGUUGAGUUACAAUAACAAAAACAAGGGAAGACAUUUUGUUGCUUCCAAAUUUGCACCUUCUUUUGCGGUUUGUGCAAAACAUAACAGAAGUUACUAAAACAUGCAUGAAACAAAAGCAAUUGACAAACAAGCCCCUAGAAUUUAAAGACUAUAUUAUACACAAUACUAAAAAUUACACUUGUAUUUAUUCUUCUUGAUUAACAAAAAUCCCACUAACUAAUGAACAUUUGUAGAUGAAUGCAUGAGUUUGAUGAAUCUAAUUUUUUUUUUUGUUUGUUUUUGUUUUCGGCCCUAUCCCAAGUUUUGUAAAAAUAAUGUUGAAAACAUAAUUGAAAGUUCUAAUCUUUGAAAAGAGUUUUUGAGAUAAUCUUUGAGAACGACUGCAUUGAAUUGACCAAAUUAAAAUUUUAGAUUAUAGUUCAAGAGUUUAUUGUAUCUAAUUAUAUAGUUUUAUAACCAACGGGUCAGUGCUUAGCGGUAUCAGACCUUUACUUUUUUUCUUAAUUGGAAAUCACACAUUUAUGCCUCCACCGGGGCUUGAAUCCUUAACCUCCCUUUGAAAAAUAGGGGCUUGAUACCGCUGGCCCCUGACCUGUUGGUAUUAGGCUCUUGUUUCCGAAAGGGAGGUUGAGGGUUCAAGCCUCAGUGGAGGCAUGUGUGUUUACCAACAAAGGAAAAAAAAAAUUAUAUAGUUUUGUAAGAAGAGUAACGCAUGAGUCAUGACUGAUUAUGUCGUAUUUGAGAGCACUGAAUCGGUGAUAUGGAUUUGAGAUAAGAGGAAAUGUAGUACAAACUUUGAACUAAAUUUUUUUCAAUCCCAAAUUCAAGCCAUCCAUUUGGUGCUCCAAAACAUAACAAUAAUGUUUUUGUUGUGUUGUGAAUUAUUACCAAAUAGAAACAUUUUUGGUAACCAAUUUCGUUGCACAAAGUUUCAAAGCAAAAAAAUUGAAAAAUAAAAUGUUGGGUGAGUGUAAAAAAAAAAAAAAAGUAAAAAGAAAAAAAGGUAUUUACAUUUUAAAAUAAAUUUUCAUUACAAUUGUUGAGUUACAAUAACAAAAACAAGUGAAGACAUUUUGUUGCUUCCAAAUUUGCACCUUGUUUUGCGGUUUGUGCAAAAUAUAACAAAAGUUACUAAAAACAUGCAUGAAACAAAAGUAAUUGACAAACAAGCCCUUACAAUUUAAAGACUAAAUUAUACACAAUACUAAAAAAAUUACAUGUGUAUUUAUUUAAUCUUCUUGAUUAACAACAAUCCCACUAACUAAUGAACAUUUGUUGAUUAAUGCAUGAGUUUGUUGUACCUAAUUUUUUUUUUUUUUGGCCCCAUACCAAGUUUUGUAAAAAUAAUGUUGAAAAGAUAGUUGAAAGUUCUAAUCUUUGAAAAGAGGUCUUAUGAUAAUCUUUGAGAACGACUACAUUGAUUUGUCAUGUUGAUUCACAUCAAGUCGGUAGAAAAUCCUAUCAAAUUUUCCCAUGUACUUUUUCCUAGUGUUUUCAAAUGUGUCAUUAUGUUAAAUUUACACCGAUGAAUCUCUAGGUUUAGUCAAAUUACAUUUACUUCCUUGAGAUUUGUACGUAAAUAACACAUAGUUCUUAUUUUUUAACAAUAAAAUAUAAUAUUUAUAAAGACGUCAAAUUACAUUUACUUCCUUGAGAUUUGUAUGUAAAUAACACAUAGUUGUCACUUUUUAACAAUAAAAUAUAAUAUUUAUAAGGACGUAAUUACAAAUCCGACGAGUCUGGCAAGGGAGGUCGGUGUAAUUUGACAAACAAAAAGAAAAGUUCGUAUAUAUUGAUAAAACUUUAGAAAAGAGUGUAAUUUAUACUUUAUUUUAUUUUGUAGAUUUUAACAUUUAUUCAUUUUUUUAUCCACACCAUAUAAUUUGAGAUGAAACUGAAUCACUGUACUUAAGGAUCUGUUUGGGAAGUGUUAUAAUAUUGUAUUUUUGAUAUUUGUAUUCAAAUUUGGGUUCACAUCAUAUUAUGGGACGGCUGAUAUUUUGAUAUCGAUAACAGAUCAUGAUAUAAUUUAUUCAACAAAAAGAGAUAUCAUGAUAAUAGAUCUGGAUGUAGUUAUUUUGUCGAUGAUAUAUGAACAUCG
Cornus florida is the source of this 4098-nucleotide long non-coding RNA. RefSeq lists it as uncharacterized. NCBI's taxonomy places the organism in Eukaryota, Viridiplantae, Streptophyta, Magnoliopsida, Cornales, Cornaceae. The transcript is spliced from 4 exons. The record is from RefSeq and is a predicted model, not a curated record.